RNAcentral lists this ribosomal RNA (440 nucleotides) under uncultured bacterium. Its description in RNAcentral is "partial 16S ribosomal RNA". It matches the Rfam family "Bacterial small subunit ribosomal RNA", at positions 338 to 795 of the family's 1533-position model. The record is from RNAcentral.
CCUACGGGCGGCAGCAGUGAGGAAUAUUGCACAAUGGGCGAAACCCUGAACCAGCCAAGCCGCGUGAAGGAAGAAGGAUCUAUGUAUUGUAAACUCCAUUUGUAGGGGAGAAAAUGCCGCUACGUGUCUCAGUAUGCACGGCUAACUACGAGACAGCAGCCGCAGCAACCCGUCGGGGGCAAGCGUUAUCCGGAGUUAUCGGGUGUAAAGGGGGCGUAUGCGGUUUAGCAAGUCAGACGUGAAAGCGCGGGGUUCAACUACGGGAUUGCCUUUGAAACUGGUGAACUAGAGUGCAGGAGAGGUAAGUGGAAUGCAUGGUGUAGCGGUGAAAUGCGUAGAUAUCAGGAAGAACACCGAUGGCGAAGGCAGCUUACCGGACUACAAAUGACGCUGAGGCACGAAAGCGUGGGGAGCAAACAGGAUUAGAUACCCGGGUAGUC